Molecule: ribosomal RNA, 250 nt
Filed under: uncultured prokaryote
Description: partial 16S ribosomal RNA
Rfam family: Bacterial small subunit ribosomal RNA
Source: RNAcentral
UACGGAAGGUCCGGGCGUUAUCCGGAUUUAUUGGGUUUAAAGGGAGCGUAGGCCGGUUUUUAAGCGUGCUGUGAAAUCGAGUGGCUCAACCACUGAAGUGCAGCGCGAACUGGAGACCUUGAGUGCGCGGGAGGCAGGCGGAAUUCGUGGUGUAGCGGUGAAAUGCUUAGAUAUCACGAGGAACCCCGAUUGCGAAGGCAGCCUGCCGCAGCGUUACUGACGCUGAAGCUCGAAGGUGCGGGUAUCGAAC